This 1621-nucleotide long non-coding RNA is filed under the name Oreochromis niloticus (Nile tilapia). RNAcentral's name for it is "lncRNA (ENSONIG00000034036.1)". The record is from RNAcentral. Lineage: Eukaryota; Metazoa; Chordata; Actinopteri; Cichliformes; Cichlidae.
AUGCUGCUUUGCCAUUUCUUCACAGAUACAAAUAUGAAUGGCCUGCUCAUCCUGGGUGUAUUGCUGUUUAUUCCAGGGCAAAGUGGUGCUAACCAUGCCAGCACCAGCCCUCAAUCUAUUCCCAGUGAAUCCACAACUAAUGUAUCAACAACAACUUCCACUGGUUCUACAAGCAGGACUGAAUCUCAGCCUGCCACUUACACUGUCUCCACUACCAGCAUCACCACCACCACCACCCCUGUGUGCCAGUUGAGGAGACGUCUGAGAACCGAUGGCGAAUCUGUCAGCAACAACGAGUACUGGAUGAGGACUGACAAUAGGGACAAAAGCAAGCCUGACUCUGAGAGAGAAGCCAAAGAGAGCACCAUGUUAAUGGCUGAGCUAACUCCAGCACAAGGGGAGACAAAUAACGGCACCAUCAAAGAAGACGGUGAGAAGGUAAAGGAAGAUGAGAAAACACCAGAGGAGAAGGCAGUGGGAGAUGCGGCCAACAGCGAGGAGGCUUCAGCCGCACCUGUAACUGCAGCUGAAGAUUCACCCUCCCCCAACCCACAGGCGGCCACCGAAGCCCAGCCCAGCCAAGCUGUGGAAGCAGCCUCCUCUGAGGGCAAAGAGGAAGGUGAUGUAGAAAAGAAAUAGGAAGAUUCCCAUCUCAUUCCUAAGAUUCCCACAACUUCUAAAUGCUCGGGUUUUAUGGAUGUCUUACACUGUGUGUUUCAUACUUUGAAUAGCUCAUGAAAUAACUCAAGAAACUGCCCCCUUUUGUGUUCUUAUACAGCCUGCAUCACUCUUCUUAUAUAUUGGAUAAGAAAAAUGGGAUAGUGAUCAACUUCUUGAGUAAAUCGUAGCACAAGACGUUGAUGUCUGAUAAGACAAGCUAAAUAUAUGAACAUUUUGUUUUCUUUGCCAGAGGAUGUGAUGUGGAGUUUUGUGUAUAGCUGCCUUUAUUUCACUUUGUUUAAAGCCUUUAACUGUAAUUUUUUUUUCCAGGCAGAUUUUUUGUUCUAUUUUUGAUUAACAAAAUCAAUUUGAUAAUCAACCAGCUGUGUGUAUUCUAAGCUAGUCAACCAUUUCUUACUGGAAAAACAACAGAGUGAUGUUGCUUCCAAUUCUUGUGUGUGAAAAUUAAAAUAUUUUAACAUUAGAAUAAGCUUUUUGUUUCUUUCCCCCCAGCUCAACUUGUGUUUCACACUUUUUCCUCUCUUACUCUAAUUUGACAAUCACGCAACCAGCACAACAGAGAUCCAUCAUUCAGAGUCAUCAUUGGCCCUUCAGCUGUGUAACGAGCUGGCUUUCGUGUGUGUGUGUGUGUGUGUGUGUGUGUGUGUGUGUGUGUGUGUGUGUGUGUGCGGUCUGCUUGAUUAGCAAGCAGAGAAUGUGCGUCCUCCAGGCAGUGCCACUCAACUCUAAAAGAAUGCUCUCUUUCACCUCAGCCAGAGCUGACAAAAGACAUACAUAGAAGCACAGACACACACACACACACAGAAAACUUUUCCAAAAAACCAAUACGGGGUUGUUUCCGCUGUCAUGUGCAGAACUUUGUUUAUCCUCAUGCAGGUGACGUCAUGAUGAAUGUGCACCUUUCUUUAACAGUUCUGAAUAGUUUGUUCUCUGCUGAGCU